GUAAAAGUUACCAGAGUUCCAAAUAAGAGAUAGAUGGCGUCCAUCGUUGGAACGACAUUGACUCCUAUGGCCGUCAGUAUGUAGGUGAGCGAAGCGUGAAUGUUAAUGGUGAUCUGCAGAUGAUCAAUUGUUUAGUCUCCAGAAAUGUUCACACUUGAAGGUUAGGAUUCGUGUUUUGGAAAUAGGUAAAUUGCACCACGGAUCACUGACACUUCCAAGAGGUUUUAGUUUCUCAACAAUCUUCAAAUUUUUACAGCUCAGUCUGUAAACUUUAAUUUCUGCAGCAAUCUUUACCCUUUUCAUUGACUUAAAAGUAAACUGAUGUUGCCAAACAAGAACUAACAAAAAUUGCUCAUCUACCAGUACGAUGAUGAUUAUGUGGAUAUUUCAAUCCUAUUUGAUGGAAAAACCAAACGAAAGGGUUAGAUUAUAACGGAGAGCAACAGAUACGGACCCAAUUGUAAUAACUGAAAGGUUCAGGAUCAGACUGAGCUAAGCAAAAAGUUGAGGACCCCUGAUGUAAUUUAUCCUUUAAAAACAUACCAAGUCAAGUAUAUUCUCUCGUAUAAGGAAAGAGGAAAUCAAAACGUAUCCAACAGCUCCCAUUGCUCGGACCUGCAUGAUAAGAUUAGAAACACUCAACACUAGAGAAAUUCCAUUGUUAAGCAUGUUCAAUAAAUCGAAUAAAUAGGUAAGAGCAUUACAAUCGAGCAAAGGAAGAUGGAUGUUACCCAAUUUGCCCCAAGCCUGGAAAGAGCGAAUAUCGAGCCGAACACGAGCCAGCUCGCUCAUUUGCCAGCCCUAUAAUUGUGGAGAGUGACGAGAAGAUAAUAAUUUAAUAAAUUUUAAAAGAAAAUUUUGAUUGCAGUGUAGAAUUCAAUGAGAAAGUCAUAUCAUUGUAUUUAAAUAAGAAAAAAGUUUACAGCAUUCCAAACAACAAUAAUUCAAGAAGUACAAGAUAAUAAGGGGCUUGUUUUGUUACACUGUUCGUAAUAUUCUAGUAAUCUUUCGUAUUUUUUUACUGAAAUAUUUAAAUUAUUAUCAUUCAAUUUAAAUUGGAUAGUUGUAAAAAAUAUCAGUAAAAUAGUAAUUAUAAAUACUCAACUAGUAAGAGUAUUUGAUUACCACAGAUUAUGAUGUAUUCUUAUUCUUAUAUUUAAUGAGAAUCAUUAGUUGUUCAUUAAUAAUAAAAAUACAUAAACCGACCGUCCCUAAAGCAAGUGGCAAAAGGCUUGAUGGUUGGUACCCAAGACCCAAGUUCGAAUCCUAGCUGAUUCACAUUUCCAGCUAAGUUUAUUUCAAAAUGAAAUAAACGAAGCGGAUAGCAUACUACCUAUCUCUCUCAAAAAAAAGAAAAAAAAAAAAAAUCUUAACAACCUUCCAAUAUAAGCAGCUUGGUAAGUGAGGAGCAGACUUGCUAUUCUUAAUAUAAAAUAUACUAUUUUCCCGAAAUAUUUCAAACCUUCAACCAAACGGCCCUAACUACCUGUACAUAAAAACACUACAACAUUAAACAUAACAGCAGCUUACAGCUAUCUCAAAUAAAACUUGAAGAACAGUAUUAGAUUUAGACCAAAGUAGUGGUUCAUUUCAUUUGUUUGAAAUAUUUUGAAAAUAUCAUAUAUUUUACAUUUGAAAUGACUAAUUUGUUAAUAAUAACAUGCCACUGGGGUUCGAAUAUUAUUUCAGACUUGUAUAUUCUUAUUAACCGACUAUUCAUAAUCUUCAUCAAGUCCGAAAAUAACAAAACUUCCAACCCCGAAUAUUAUAAUCAAGAAUUUAAGUGUCCAUCGGCACGGAUCGUUUCUUUUCUACUGUAUCGUGCUAACAAAUUAUCAACACGAUACAGUAAAAUACAUAAUAAACAGUUAGAAUAUUUUGUUUCUAAAAAAAAUAAAUAAAUAUUUUAUAUUAUUAUGUGUCUGCACACAUAAAUUUUUUAUGACUAACACGCAUUCACAUAGCCCGGCACGCACCGGAAAGUCUCCGAUAGGAUCCUGUGCCACGACGCUUAAAUUCUUGAUUACAAUAAACCUACUUGCAGGAAAUAAAAAAUAUAAAAGAUUACUGAAAUAUUAUAAACCACGGACGGGUCUUAAAAGUUUACUAUAAUGUGGGUUUUUUAAUUAAUGCACCUAGUUAAGUUGCAAUAUAACAAAUAAAAUCAAAACCAGAAAAGCAUAAAAAGAAAAAAAAACAAAAGACAAGAUACCCUUCUUGAUAAGAACUAUAUCUAAAUUAAUAGUUCUAUUAUCAGACAAUUUAUUUAAAUUGAAAGAUUCUUUUCUAUCAAAGUAUAACUGACGCCAUCAGCAAGUCAUUUUUCGUAAACUUUUUGCAUCUAUAUUCAACAAUUAUGUCCAAAAUUUUGUGCCCAUUUAAAAACAAGAGCAAGAUGCAGCAACCAUAGAAAAAUGUCAGGGUUUAACGAGAUAAAGGGUGAGAGUGCAAGGUUGGUUUUGCACUUUAGCCUUGUGUUUUUCUAUUUCUUCAUAAAGAUUUCAAUUACAAUGAACAAUUACAACCCGGAAAUUAAUGUGCCAACACUAAUUUUAUACAGAAUAGUAACAGUGGAAUUAAAAAAAAAAGAAGAACAAGCUUUGAAGAUUGAUUCCAAGGUUUCCUAUAUUUUGUAUGGGUGGCAAUAAAUUUCGCAAAAAUGCCCUCAAAUUGCUUUAUCCAGCCAUUUUGGAAGUUUCAAAGAAGCCCUCAAUCCAAGUUUUGUAAGGAUCACAGCAUACAAUAUAUGCAGCAAAAAAACAAAGAAUCCACAGUUGAGUAGAAGCUGUUCAGCAACAAAAACAGAUGAAUUAACAGCAUCCGAGCGCAAUAUCAUACACGAAUUCAGCGAAAGAACUGCGAGAUUUGAAAUGAUGUAAAAGUUACCAGAGUUCCAAAUAAGAGAUAGAUGGCGUCCAUCGUUGGAACGACAUUGACUCCUAUGGCCGUCAGUAUGUAGGUGAGCGAAGCGUGAAUGUUAAUGGUGAUCUGCAGAUGAUCAAUUGUUUAGUCUCCAGAAAUGUUCACACUUGAAGGUUAGGAUUCGUGUUUUGGAAAUAGGUAAAUUGCACCACGGAUCACUGACACUUCCAAGAGGUUUUAGUUUCUCAACGAUCUUCAAAUUGUUACAGCUCAGUCUGUAAACUUUAAUUUCUGCAGCAAUCUUUACCCUUUUCAUUGACUUAAAAGUAAAUUGAUGUUGCCAAACAAGAACUAACAAAAAUUGCUCAUCUACCAGUACGAUGAUGAUUAUGUGGAUAUUUCAAUCCUAUUUGAUGGAAAAACCAAACGAAAGGGUUAGAUUAUAACGGAGAGCAACAGAUACGGACCCAAUUGUAAUAACUGAAAGGUUCAGGAUCAGACUGAGCUAAGCAAAAAGUUGAGGACCCCUGAUGUAAUUUAUCCUUUAAAAACAUACCAAGUCAAGUAUAUUCUCUCGUAUAAGGAAAGAGGAAAUCAAAACG
RNAcentral lists this long non-coding RNA (3464 nucleotides) under Ananas comosus (pineapple). RNAcentral's name for it is "long non-coding RNA (ACOM_LNC022540)". The record is from RNAcentral. Lineage: Eukaryota; Viridiplantae; Streptophyta; Magnoliopsida; Poales; Bromeliaceae.